GACGAACGCUGGCGGCGUGCCUAAUACAUGCAAGUCGAGCGAGCUUGCCUAGAUGAUUUUGAUGCUUGCAUCAAAUGAAACUAGAUACAAGCUAGCGGCGGACGGGUGAGUAACACGUGGGUAACCUGCCCAAGAGACUGGGAUAACACCUGGAAACAGAUGCUAAUACCGGAUAACAACAAUAAACGCAUGUCUAGAGUUUGAAAGAUGGGUUUGCUAUCACUCUUGGAUGGACCUGCGGUGCAUUAGCUAGUUGGUAAGGUAACGGCUUACCAAGGCAAUGAUGCAUAGCCGAGUUGAGAGACUGAUCGGCCACAUUGGGACUGAGACACGGCCCAAACUCCUACGGGAGGCAACAGUAGGGAAUCUUCCACAAUGGACGAAAGUCUGAUGGAGCAACGCCGCGUGAGUGAAGAAGGGUUUCGGCUCGUAAAGCUCUGUUGAUGGUGAAGAAAGAUAGAGGUAGUAACUGGCCUUUAUUUGACGGUAAUCAUUUAGAAAGUCACGGCUAACUACGUGCCAGCCGCCGCGGUAA
This 535-nucleotide ribosomal RNA is filed under the name uncultured bacterium. Its description in RNAcentral is "partial 16S ribosomal RNA". It matches the Rfam family "Bacterial small subunit ribosomal RNA", at positions 28 to 523 of the family's 1533-position model. The record is from RNAcentral.